UACACUCAAAUUGCAGGACAAACGACGAACUUUACUUCAAAAAUACUGACUAUUAACAACACCAGAAAUGAAAAGUUUUAUAAAGCUCGUGAAUUGAAUAUUUACAUCUAUUUUGGAUUGAUAUCAGCAAUAAUAUUAACGGCAAUCUCAUCUAUCUCAUUAUUAUACAAACUCUUUGUUUCUGCCUCAAUAAAACUCCACAACAAUAUGUUUCGUUGUAUUAUUCGUACUCCAAUUUCUUUCCUGGAUAACAAUCCGAUUGGUAAAAUCCUGAAUCGAUUUUCAAGAGAUACAAGUGGAAUGGACGACAUGUUACCACUUGUUUAUCACGAAACUAUCAGAUCAUUUAGUUUAGUAAUUGGAAUAUUUGUUAUCGAAGGAAUUAU
This is a long non-coding RNA of Centruroides sculpturatus (bark scorpion), 386 nucleotides long. RefSeq lists it as uncharacterized. The record is from RefSeq and is a predicted model, not a curated record. Lineage: Eukaryota; Metazoa; Arthropoda; Arachnida; Scorpiones; Buthidae. The transcript has 3 exons.